RNAcentral lists this ribosomal RNA (506 nucleotides) under uncultured bacterium. Its description in RNAcentral is "partial 16S ribosomal RNA". It matches the Rfam family "Bacterial small subunit ribosomal RNA", at positions 29 to 523 of the family's 1533-position model. The record is from RNAcentral.
AGUGAACGCUGGCGGUAGGCCUAACACAUGCAAGUCGAACGGCAGCACAGAGGAGCUUGCUCCUUGGGUGGCGGGUGGCGGACGGGUGAGGAAUACAUCGGAAUCUACUCUGUCGUGGGGGAUAACGUAGGGAAACUUACGCUAAUACCGCAUACGACCUACGGGUGAAAGCAGGGGAUCUUCGGGCCUUGCGCGAUUGAAUGAGCCGGUGUCGGAUUAGCUAGUUGGCGGGGUAAAGGCCCACCAAGGCGACGAUCCGUAGCUGGUCUGAGAGGAUGAUCAGCCACACUGGAACUGAGACACGGUCCAGACUCCUACGGGAGGCAGCAGUGGGGAAUAUUGGACAAUGGGCGCAAGCCUGAUCCAGCCAUACCGCGUGGGUGAAGAAGGCCUUCGGGUUGUAAAGCCCUUUUGUUGGGAAAGAAAUCCAUCUGGUUAAUACCCGGGUGGGAUGACGGUACCCAAAGAAUAAGCACCGGCUAACUUCGUGCCAGCAGCCGCCGUAA